Molecule: long non-coding RNA, 1794 nt
Organism: Fundulus heteroclitus (mummichog)
Lineage: Eukaryota; Metazoa; Chordata; Actinopteri; Cyprinodontiformes; Fundulidae
Exons: 2
Source: RefSeq, a predicted model, not a curated record
GGAGAUCUGUGGUGUGAGUAGGUCUGUGGUGUGAGGAGGGGGUCUGUGGUGUGAGGAGAUCUUUGGGCAGAGGAGGUCUGUGGUGUGAGGAGAUCUUUGGGGUAGAGGAGGUCUGUGGUGUAAGGGGGUCUGUGGUGUGAGGAGAUCUUUGGGCAGAGGAGGUCUGUGGUGUGAGGAGGUCUGUGGUGUGAGGAGAUCUUUGGGGUAGAGGAGGUCUGUGGUGUGAGGAGGUCUUUGGGGUAGAGGAGGUCUGUGGUGUGAGAAGGUCUGUGGUGUGAGGAGGUCGGUGGUGUGAGAAGGUCUGUGGUGUGAGAAGGUCUGUGGUGUGAGGAGGUCGGUGGUGUGAGAAGGUCUGUGGUGUGAGGAGAUCUUUGGGCAGAGGAGGUCUGUGGUGUGAGAAGGUCUGUGGUGUGAGGAGGUCGGUGGGGUAGGGAGCCAGUGAAGCGACUGAAGGAUGGGUAUGAUGAGGUUGUAUUGACGCACCCUCAUCAGGACCCUAGCGCUGCUGUUCUGGGAGUGUAGCAGUUUUUGUUGGCUCUCUUUCUAGGAGUCCCAAUGAGGUAAAUGAUACAAUAAAGGUGUGGACCCGUUGUUCUGCACGUGACAGACCGAGUGUGGGUGGAGUUUGGCAAUGUUACAGAGGUGGUAGAAGCAGGUCUUUCAGAUGAUUAAUGUCGGUGUCAAAAGUGAGAUGAGUGUCAAUUUUAAAGCCAGCUUGGUGGCUGUAGAUGACAGAGGUAUGUUUUGACCAGAGAAGGUGAUGUGUGUUAGGGAAGAUGACCCGGUGUGGUGAGCCAACUAAGAUAGCUUCUGUUUUUCAGCCAUUAAGUUGGAGAAAGUUCUCAGCCAUUCAUGUCAUUAUCUCCUCAAGGCAGGUGCUCAAUGAUGAUGAUGACAAUAACGAAGAUAACGACGUCGAUGAUUUGGGACUCUGGCCCUCCCAAGGAGACACAUUCUGUUCUCCCAGACAGGACUGAUGCUCCCUGGGCGCUACACAGUAGCAGUCCACUGCUCCCCAAGGGUGAUGGGUUAAAAGCAGAGAACGAAUGUCUUUGUAAUAUAUGUUUAAUGACAAUAAAGACAAUAUUAUUCCUAAUUUUAUUAUUAGGUACGACUGGAACGAGCUCAGGGCGGAGUCAGAGGCCGAUGGUGAGGUGCUGAAGGAGGACGAUGUGGUCGACUGUGUCAAACGCUGCAGAUCCAGAAAGCUGAGGUGUGAAGGUACGGCGGUGUGAGACGCCAUCAGCAGGUCUUUGGUGACUCUGACCAAAGGUGUUCCAGUGCUGUGGGCUGAACCAGAACCCGACUGGAGUUGAGAUGGUUCUGAAGAUAGGCAGCUUCCUCACUUCAUCACAGGAACCGUCACUGUGAGAUGAACUCUCCUGGCCUUCACUACACCUGAGGAGACAGAAGCCCUGGCUAACGUUCAUUAGUCGGCCAUUUUCUGCCUAAUCCUGGCAGCAGAGGAUACGACUCACUCUUCUCCUCACUGGACCGAGGUUCUCCACCCAUCUGACCCAAACUUCUUCUUCCACUGCUGUUCUACGGGCCUGGAGCAAUAUUCAGAGUCCACGAAGCUUCAGGAUCACGUUCCCCUCUAAGCCUAACCAGACUGGAUCUGUUUUAUCCGUCUAGAUGUUUAGAUGAAAUGUUUCUGGUGCCUCCAGGUCUCCCUGGUAAAGGAACUUCCUGGUAAAAUAAAGGUAAAAUAAAAAUGCAGAACCAAACAUCUGAAACUAUCGGACCUCAGAACCUGAACUUUACCACAGCUUUAAUAAAACACUUAAACAGGAA